RNAcentral lists this ribosomal RNA (1348 nucleotides) under uncultured bacterium. RNAcentral describes it as "bacterial SSU rRNA". It matches the Rfam family "Bacterial small subunit ribosomal RNA", at positions 29 to 1365 of the family's 1533-position model. The record is from RNAcentral.
AUGAACGCUAGCGGCAGGCUUAACACAUGCAAGUCGAGGGGCAGCGGGGAGGAAGCUUGCUUUCUCCGCCGGCGACCGGCGCACGGGUGAGUAACACGUAUGCAACCUGCCCCUGUCAGGGGGACAACCCGCCGAAAGGCGGGCUAAACCCGCGUACAUGCCACCGGGGCAUCCCGGAGGCAGGAAAGGCUUCGGCCGGACAGGGAUGGGCAUGCGGCGCAUUAGGCAGUAGGCGGGGUAACGGCCCACCUAACCGACGAUGCGUAGGGGUUCUGAGAGGAAGGUCCCCCACACUGGUACUGAGACACGGACCAGACUCCUACGGGAGGCAGCAGUGAGGAAUAUUGGUCAAUGGUCGGGAGACUGAACCAGCCAAGCCGCGUGAGGGAGGAAGGUACAGAGUAUCGUAAACCUCUUUUGUCAGGGAACAAAGACUGGGACGCGUCCCCGGAUGAGUGUACCUGAAGAAAAAGCAUCGGCUAACUCCGUGCCAGCAGCCGCGGUAAUACGGAGGAUGCGAGCGUUAUCCGGAUUUAUUGGGUUUAAAGGGUGCGCAGGCGGUCUGUUAAGUCAGCGGUCAAAGCCCGGGGCUCAACCCCGGCCCGCCGUUGAAACUGGCAGUCUCGAGUUGGAGAGAAGUAUGCGGAAUGCGCGGUGUAGCCGGUGAAAUGCAUAGAUAUCGCGCAGAACUCCGAUUGCGAAGGCAGCAUGCCGGCUCCACACUGACGCUGAGGCACGAAAGCGUGGGUAUCGAACAGGAUUAGAUACCCUGGUAGUCCACGCAGUAAACGAUGAAUGCUGGCUGUCCGGGGGGACUGACCCCUGGGUGGCGAAGCGAAAGCGAUAAGCAUUCCACCUGGGGAGUACGCCGGCAACGGUGAAACUCAAAGGAAUUGACGGGGGCCCGCACAAGCGGAGGAACAUGUGGUUUAAUUCGAUGAUACGCGAGGAACCUUACCCGGGCUCAAACGGGGAGUGGCGCAGGCAGAGACGCCUGUUUCCCACGGGACACUCCCCGAGGUGCUGCAUGGUUGUCGUCAGCUCGUGCCGUGAGGUGUCGGCUUAAGUGCCAUAACGAGCGCAACCCCCGCGUGCAGUUGCUAACAGUCAACGCUGAGGACUCUGCACGGACUGCCGGCGCAAGCCGCGAGGAAGGCGGGGAUGACGUCAAAUCAGCACGGCCCUUACGUCCGGGGCGACACACGUGUUACAAUGGGUGGUACAGCGGGAAGCCAGGCGGCGACGCCGAGCGGAACCCGAAAUCCACUCUCAGUUCGGAUCGGAGUCUGCAACCCGACUCCGUGAAGCUGGAUUCGCUAGUAAUCGCGCAUCAGCCAUGGCGCGGUGA